GACGAACGCUGGCGGCGUGCUUAACACAUGCAAGUCGAACGGUAAGGGCCUGCUUUUGUGGGGUGCUCGAGUGGCGAACGGGUGAGUAACACGUGAGUAACCUGCCCCUGACUUUGGGAUAACUUCAGGAAACUGGGGCUAAUACCGGAUAGGAGCUCCUGCUGCAUGGUGGGGGUUGGAAAGUUACGGCGGUUGGGGAUGGGCUCGCGGCUUAUCAGCUUGUUGGUGGGGUAGUGGCUUACCAAGGCUUUGACGGGUAGCCGGCCUGAGAGGGUGACCGGCCACAUUGGGACUGAGACACGGCCCAGACUCCUACGGGAGGCAGCAGUGGGGAAUAUUGCACAAUGGGCGGAAGCCUGAUGCAGCAACGCCGCGUGCGGGAUGACGGCCUUCGGGUUGUAAACCGCUUUCGCCAGUGACGAAGCGUGAGUGACGGUAAUGGGUAAAGAAGCACCGGCUAACUACGUG
Molecule: ribosomal RNA, 468 nt
Filed under: uncultured bacterium
Lineage: Bacteria
Description: partial 16S ribosomal RNA
Rfam family: Bacterial small subunit ribosomal RNA
Source: RNAcentral